RNAcentral lists this ribosomal RNA (468 nucleotides) under uncultured bacterium. RNAcentral describes it as "partial 16S ribosomal RNA". It matches the Rfam family "Bacterial small subunit ribosomal RNA", at positions 28 to 507 of the family's 1533-position model. The record is from RNAcentral.
GACGAACGCUGGCGGCGUGCUUAACACAUGCAAGUCGAACGGAAAGGCCCUGCUUUUGUGGGGUGCUCGAGUGGCGAACGGGUGAGUAACACGUGAGUAACCUGUCCUUGACUUUGGGAUAACUUCAGGAAAAUGGGGCUAAUAUCGGAUAGGAGCUCCUGCAGCAUGGUGGGGGUUGGAAAGAUUCGGCGGUUGGGGAUGGACUCGCGGCUUAUCAGCUUGUUGGUGGGGUAGUGGCUUACACAGGCUUCGACGGGUAGCCGGCCUGUGAGGGUGACCGGCCACAUUGGGACUAAGAGACGGACCAGACUCCUACGGGAGGCAACGGUGGAGAAUAUUGCACAAUGAGCGGAAGCCAGAUACAGCAACGCCGCGUGCGGGAUGACGGCCUUCGAGUUGUAAACCGCUUUCGCCUGUGACGAAGCGUGAGUGACGGUAAUGAGUAAAAAAGCACCGGCUAACUACGUG